This is a long non-coding RNA of Lotus japonicus, 1742 nucleotides long. RefSeq lists it as uncharacterized. Lineage: Eukaryota; Viridiplantae; Streptophyta; Magnoliopsida; Fabales; Fabaceae. The transcript is spliced from 7 exons. The record is from RefSeq and is a predicted model, not a curated record.
CUUCUCCACCCCUUCCAUCCUGCCACAGUCCACCUUCUUCUCCUGCAGAUUUGUUUGCUUCAGCAACCACUCACCUCAUCAUGUUCAUCAUUCAACAACAAAAAGAUUCAGCAACCCGAAACCAUUUAUCUCAAAAGUAGGCAACUUUGAGCACUAAGAUACAGAUACAACACCAUAUAUUUUUCUCCAAAGAUUCAAGUUUUACAAACAAAACCAAAUGUAAAUCUCAGCAAGCAACAACAUUUGAAUUUAACAAUAAAUGAUCAAAGAACCCACGCACUGAGAACAACCUUGAAAACCCCAGAAGCAACCCCAGAUCCAACAUUCCCAGAAGCUUGACGCCAUGGUUGCACUCAGAACAACCUUGAAAACUCCAGAUUGAAGAAAAAACCCAGAUGCGUUCAAGCUUUCACCUUUUUUCCUGCCAUUUCGUGUUCUUUUUCUAUGAAAUCACUGUGGGAUCUAGGGGUUUUUGAACUGUGAGAAAAAAUAAGAUCUGGUUCGAUCUGAACCUCUGAAACUCAUACCCAGAUCUGGCGGUACGGUGGAGUUCGAAGGAGAUGGUGGCGCCGCGCGAUUUAAUGGAAGAAGGAGAUGGAGGUCGAUUCGCGGAUGGGGCCGGAAAAGGAAAAGGUAAUCGUGGCGGCGGCGGCCAUGGAUGAAGGGCGGCGGCGAGGGCUAGGUGAGGGAGAUGCAUGGUGGGUGCCAGAUCCAUUGUUGCAAGAGAUGAAGGUGAUAAUCUUGUGGUAGUUGAUAAUGAGAAGGAGGAGAAUAGAUUGUUGAAGAUGUUUGAUUUGUUCACUAUUUGUUGUCAGGAGAAGAGCAGAGUCAGAAGCCAUAGGUGUGGUUUAUUUCGUCAGCUUAUGGUUUCCCUAUCAGUUGAGUAAAAGAGGGCUGGUAUUCAUUGUGGUUCAGCAGGGUGUCAAAAUUGAGGCUUAUAUUAAGAAGAACUACCUCAGUAAGUUCAGGGGUGAAUUUUCAGAGGGCAAUGUCUACAAGAUAACUUAUUUUGGUGUCUACAGACUGUCCAAGGGGUUGGGUAAGCUGGAGUUUUGGGAUAUCUACGGCUAUCCCUGGGCAGUGAUUUAUUUAUGCACUACUUUUGAAUCAAUUUUUGUGCAGCUCCUACACGUUUAAACAAAAACAUGCACUUUGGUUGCUGCAAGUGAUGUUCUGCUAGAUUCCCCAGUUAUGAAGUACAACCCCAUGGAUUGAACUUCAUAGAGGUGAAGGCCCUUGGAGCAGUUUGAUUUCUUCUUUGUGUAUAGAAUGUUUCUUAGAUCCAGUUCCUGUUGGCCUUCCUAACAUUCUUAUCACAGUUUCAAGUCAUGCUAAGAUGAAAACCAAGCUAAGGUGUCCUCAGCUUGAAAUGAUCAAUGCAACCGUCCAAUAUUGCUGCUCAAAAGAAGUCCAACCCUGCAAGAGAUACUGUGGGAUGACUUUGGUACGAUGGAACUAACACAUGGAAACAACUCAAAAGCGAUCCCCAUUUCACGGCUCCUUUUGUUUUCGCAGUCUAGAUCAUUGGAUGUGAAAGAAAAUAUUUGCAUUAUAAAAUGUAGCCCUGAAUCACACCUCAAGCUCUUAAAGUACUAAAAAUUCAAAUUUGACAUUAUUUUUUUAUUACUGUAGUCCUUUCCUAAUGAUGCAUUGAUGAACAGGGAAGAGUAUCUAUGUCCUAAUAGUAAAAUUGGUUAUUGUUAUUAUGUAUUUUUAAUUUGAAAUAAAAAAGCUGCUCCUCA